Molecule: ribosomal RNA, 301 nt
Filed under: uncultured bacterium
Lineage: Bacteria
Description: partial 16S ribosomal RNA
Rfam family: Bacterial small subunit ribosomal RNA
Source: RNAcentral
CAGUCGCCACGGGAAUACAGAGGGUGCGAGCGUUAAUCGGAUUUACUGGGCGUAAAGCGUGCGUAGGCGGCUUCUUAAGUCGGAUGUGAAAUCCCUGAGCUUAACUUAGGAAUUGCAUUCGAUACUGGGAAGCUAGAGUAUGGGAGAGGAUGGUAGAAUUUCAGGUGUAGCGGUGAAAUGCGUAGAGAUCUGGAGGAAUACCGAUGGCGAAGGCAGCCAUCUGGCCUAAUACUGACGCUGAGGUACGAAAGCAUGGGGAGCAAACAGGAUUAGAUACCCGAGUAGUCCCUGUCUCUUAUAC